Molecule: ribosomal RNA, 322 nt
Filed under: uncultured eukaryote
Lineage: Eukaryota
Description: partial 18S ribosomal RNA
Rfam family: Eukaryotic small subunit ribosomal RNA
Source: RNAcentral
CCCUUAGAUGUUCUGGGCCGCACGCGUGCUACACUGAGUAAAUCAAUGGGUAAGGGAACACGAAAGUGCAACCUAAUCUUGAAAUUUGCUCGUGAUGGGGAUCGACGGUUGCAAUUUUCCGUCGUGAACGAGGGAUACCUUGUAGGCGCGUGUCAUCAUCACGCGCCGAAUACGUCCCUGCCCUUUGUACACACCGCCCGUCGCUCCUACCGAUUGAGUGAUCCGGUGAGGCUCUGGGACCUGGACGGAAAGAGCGUUUCGCUUGUUCUGUUUGGGAAACUUGGUCGAACCUUAUCAUUUAGAGGAAGGAGAAGUCGUAACA